GAUGAACGCUCGCUGUGUGCCUAAUACAUGCAUGUUGAACGGGAUGUAGCAAUACAUUCAGUAGCGAAUGGGUGAGUAACACGUACCUAACCUACCUUUAAGACUGGGAUAACUAUUGGAAACAAUAGCUAAUACCGGAUAUAGUUAUUUAUCGCAUGAUGAGUAAUAGAAAGGAGCUUCACAGCUUCACUUAAAAAUGGGGGUGCGGAACAUUAGUUAGUUGGUAGGGUAAUGGCCUACCAAGACGAUGAUGUUUAGCCGGGCCGAGAGGCUGUACGGCCACACUGGGACUGAGAUACGGCCCAGACUCCUACGGGAGGCAGCAGUAAGGAAUUUUCCACAAUGAGCGAAAGCUUGAUGGAGCGACACAGCGUGCAGGAUGAAGUUCUUCGGAAUGUAAACUGCUGUUAUAAGGGAAGAAAAAAUAGAAUAGGAAAUGAUUUUAUCUUGACGGUACCUUAUUAGAAAGCGACGGCAAACUAUGUGCCAGCAGCUGCGGUAAUACAUAGGUCGCAAGCGUUAUCCGGAAUUAUUGGGCGUAAAGCGUCCGUAGGUUUUUUGCUAAGUCUGGAGUUAAAUGCUGAAGCUCAACUUCAGUCCGCUUUGGAUACUGGCAAAAUAGAAUUAUAAAGAGGUUAGCGGAAUUCCUAGUGAAGCGGUGGAAUGCGUAGAUAUUAGGAAGAACACCAACAGGCGAAGGCAGCUAACUGGUUAUAUAUUGACACUAAGGGACGAAAGCGUGGGGAGCAAACAGG
This 755-nucleotide ribosomal RNA is filed under the name uncultured Mycoplasma sp. RNAcentral's name for it is "bacterial SSU rRNA". It matches the Rfam family "Bacterial small subunit ribosomal RNA", at positions 28 to 776 of the family's 1533-position model. Lineage: Bacteria; Bacillati; Mycoplasmatota; Mollicutes; Mycoplasmatales; Mycoplasmataceae. The record is from RNAcentral.